RNAcentral lists this ribosomal RNA (427 nucleotides) under uncultured Pseudomonas sp. Its description in RNAcentral is "bacterial SSU rRNA". It matches the Rfam family "Bacterial small subunit ribosomal RNA", at positions 355 to 774 of the family's 1533-position model. Lineage: Bacteria; Pseudomonadati; Pseudomonadota; Gammaproteobacteria; Pseudomonadales; Pseudomonadaceae. The record is from RNAcentral.
UGGGGAAUAUUGGACAAUGGGCGAAAGCCUGAUCCAGCCAUGCCGCGUGUGUGAAGAAGGUCUUCGGAUUGUAAAGCACUUUAAGUUGGGAGGAAGGGUUGUAGAUUAAUACUCUGCAAUUUUGACGUUACCGACAGAAUAAGCACCGGCUAACUCUGUGCCAGCAGCCGCGGUAAUACAGAGGGUGCAAGCGUUAAUCGGAAUUACUGGGCGUAAAGCGCGCGUAGGUGGUUUGUUAAGUUGGAUGUGAAAUCCCCGGGCUCAACCUGGGAACUGCAUCCAAAACUGGCAAGCUAGAGUAUGGUAGAGGGUGGUGGAAUUUCCUGUGUAGCGGUGAAAUGCGUAGAUAUAGGAAGGAACACGAGUGGCGAAGGCGACCACCUGGACUGAUACUGACACUGAGGUGCGAAAGCGUGGGGAGCAAACA